CUGCCCAACACGGUAAGUUCAUUUAAUCCUGAUUUCAUUUAAACACCAGAGGCUGUGCGGUGGUUAUACUAAUUUUGGAGAUGUGGAAACUGAGGCUCAGAGAGACUUUGAUCAGCCAGUGACUAGCCAAGCUAAGACUGAAAUGAGGGCCUCCAUCCUGCCCAGCCUGAAGGUCUUCCUCUGAGGCUGUGAGCCAAAGGGAAAAACAAACAGAGGAAAUAAUUCCUGAAGCGACUUGGGUAAUUCAGGAAGAGAAGGCUGCUAUUUAGGAAAUAUUUAGGAUUCGGACUCUAGUCUCAACCCUCUGAGUGUAGACAUGGCUCCUGAGGUCCUGGGCUAGUUUCUAGAAAGCUGAUUUCUGCCUUGGGAAAUAGUGAGCUGUAUGAAAUGCAGAAACUGUGUAGGAGUUCACAAGCAGCAACCGACAGAGCUAAAUGUUCGCAGCUGGCAUUCAAUAAAAGUCUGGGCACGGCAUUGAUCGGUGAGGCCCGUGGCUCCACGUGGCCUCCCUGAAAACAACGCCCAGUUACGGCACAGGGAGUCCAUCCCUUCUUCAGACGGGGUGCAGGCGCAGGCAGGGUUUUCAAGUGCAAGAAAAAGAUCAGAGCAGGCACAGCAGUGGGGGCUGUGUUCAGGUGGCCAGGAGGGAAGGUGGGAUGAGUCAGACACAAGAUUUCAUACCCGAAGACAUCAGGGAUUGGAAAAGGCCCGGGGCUCCUCCCAUUCGAGAAAUCCUCACCUUCCCAGGUGGCCCGGGACAAGGCUCGGCAGCCCUCUGUGUCCCUGUACAACUUCUGCCUUCAUCACCGCAAUCUCUGCCCAUGUUCCAGAGCCUUGGGUCUUGCGCCUGGUGACUCCUUAGGUAAUGGGACUUCCUGAGCAGGUGAGCAUGCUGGGAGGGCCCUGAGAACAAGUCCAGGCCUUCUCUGAGCAGAAGGCAGGCUUGUACGUGGGCACGACCUUCAGCGUUGAGGAGGUGAGCAGAGGCCAGGAAGCGGAUGUCAGUGGCCUGGACAAGGCUCUGUGACCCCCAGGCCCUUCCCUGCCUGCCUACCAACCGAUGUCUUAAAAUCCACCCUCCAGCCUGUUCCAUCAUGGUACUUCCUCAUUUUCAGGCCGUCAUGGAGGCCUCUUCGUUUUCAGAAGACUGCUUCUAAUUUUUUUUUUUUCUCUCUCUCCCUCUCUCUCCCUUAGGAACCAUGGUUGUGUUGCGCUUUAAACCUUUCAGCAGUUUUGUUCCACGUGUGCAUCAAAACAUCCGACAGGUUAUAAUUAGCAGCAACACAUGGAAAACAUCACGAUGGUCACCUCCCACGCCCGCCCCACUGCUGGCCUGACCAGAGGUCACUUUCAAGCCUGUUGGUGAGCCUGGGGUGGUCAGAUUCUUUCCUAAAAUCAGAGAAUCGACGAGCCUCCCAGGCUCCUCCUGCCCUGCCUGCCUAGGAUUUAAAGGGGAUGGACUAGUAAGAAACGACAAACUUCGCCAGCUUGACAACGCUGCAGUGGUGUAUUCUGUGUCUGCCUUACACAUCUACUUUCUUGUUUGAGGAACAGCAACAGAAAUGAUUGUGUGUGUGUUCUCAGGACAGUAUCAGGGGAGCUGGCCCAGCCUCUGUCUCUGACCGCCUCCCCACCACGUGUAGAUCUGGGUGCCCUGUGUGCUCAGGGAGCCCCUAUCGGGAUGGAGAGCCAAAGGCCAGAGACGUCCUUGAGAGAGACCCAGCAGGGGCCACCCCAGAACGCCCCACCUUCCAGCCCAGUGCCUCUGCCUGAGGUGCUUUCACUCUGGCCGUUCCCUCUUCCCAGAUCCUUUCUUGGCUCCUUGUUGCCAUCUGGUGCUUAGUACAGAUGUUGCCUCCGCAAGGAGGCCCUCCCAGACCUCCUGCCCCUAAGCGCCCGGCUCUCUCACCUUAUUUUCUUUUCUUCCCUGCCGGUAUCAUCAUCUGGGGCUUACCAUUUUUCUUCCUGCCGUCUCUUCUCCAGAGCAGAAGCUGGGUGCUGUGACAGCAGGGACCUCUCCCUGCAGUUUCCGCUCAGAACAAUGGUAAGCACAGGACUCGGCACCCACGGCAGGAAGCCGGUCCCUGUCUGUGGAAUGGGCAGGAUGAAGGAGAGACUAGCUUUAGACACGGGCCAUGCUGAGCCCGCAGCUGAGCCAAGACACCAAGGUUCCAGGCUGUGAGACUGGACAGUUACACAGUUACAUGCCCUCCCCUGGCCUCACCCCCAGAGAUGCUUUCCCGAGAUUACCCUCAUAAUUCUGCAUGGCAGUUGGAUACUUUCUAGUGUUGGCAAAGUGAUCCAAUGAAAAAUAGCUCUUUGAGAACCCUAGAUUAUCUCUCAAAUUCCUCAAAAAAAAAAAAAAAAUCUAGUUGAUUGAAGGAUAAGGGUGGAGUAGAGGGUAGUUUUUAAGACACAUACUCAUUGUGGUUGCCUCACUUCUCUCGUUCUCUGGGCUCCGAGCACUCGGGUCUCUCUCGCUCUGUGUGCCUAUCCUUUGACAGGUCGGCCAGCCCUGGACUCCAGCUGGUUGACCUGGGCGAGGCAGCCAGCCUUCUCUUCCUUCUCCUCCCUUCAUGGAGCAGGUUUGCUACCCGGUCUCUGCUGUUCUUUCUGACAAGAGCGCGCCAGCUUUCCUGGGGAAGGAAGCCUUCUUCCCACUCCCAGACCUUGCCCCGGGGGCCAGUUGUCACAUUCCGUGCCCGCCCCCGGCCACAGUAAAGGUUUAGAGGUGCCACAGACUGGGCCCAAGAGAGGGGAGCCACCAGGAUCUGAACUGGAGCCACAGGGACGGGCUCUGGCUUCUGCCUGUCCUGGGCAUUGGGGGCGGAACGCUGGCUGUGACACGUGGAGUCGGUGCCCAGAGGAAGGGGCGAGGCCCUGAGGCAGCCCAGCUUGGGCCUCAGCCCUUUAGGACAGCGAGCUUCCUACCAUGCUCAAGCAAGUUCUGCCACAUGCUGCCAAAGGCCCUUGACCCAUGUCCUGUGCAGACAUGUCCUGGGGAUACAGAGCUGCAUGGAAGAGACCCCCAGCUCCACAGGUAUGUGGAGUGAUUGUACCCAAGGACUGUGGUGACCUUGGUCACCCACGUUAGCCAGCAGCCAUGAUUGUGUACCCACAGAGCCUUGCUAGACCCUGGGUGUGGCUGUAAAGAUGUCCUGACCUCUAGGUUCCCAAGGUCCAGAGGCCUGACUAUGAAAAGGAUGUGUGUGGGCUGGCCUGAGGAAGAGCUGGGGGCCUAGAAAGCACCCCACACCCAGGCACACCAGGCCCUCUGGCCUGUGAAUCUUCCUGUACCUGCAUCCCACUGUCUUUGUCAGCCAGGUUCUCAGAGUGGCCCCGGGGGAGGCAGUGGGACCGAGACGUCCCAGUCAGCACCCCCACUGCCACCCCGUGUCAAUCUGCGCUGAUGGCAACGAGCGCAUCUUUGUCUGGGUGGAGGCUCAUCUUCACACUCUGGAGCGUGGAGGGUAAGCACCUUAAGCUGCAAAUACUGUUAUCCAUGAUAGGUUGGCAAAUAUUCUCAGAUUGAGUGCCAAACUUUAGAAUUAUGUCAGUGAAUCCUUGAGCUUUCCGCCAUCAUUGUUCUUGCUUUGUCCUUAUGCAAGGAGGCCCCAGAGUGGGAGGGCCUGUGUGCAGUCUGACUUCCCUCCAUUGAAAGAAUUGCCUCACUCAUUUCCCAACCCUGAGAGGCUGCUCACCACCUUCAGAGGCAGAAAGCAUUGCCUGGCGGGGCUGUUCUGACUGGCAGGGGAUGUUUCAGGUGACUUAGCCCCAUCUGCCCAUCUUGUGUGCUGACAGCAUGCGUUCAUAUAGCCAUUCAAUAAAUUUCCUCACUCAUUUACUGGGUACCUGACCCUUUGU
Molecule: long non-coding RNA, 3864 nt
Filed under: Ovis aries (sheep)
Lineage: Eukaryota; Metazoa; Chordata; Mammalia; Artiodactyla; Bovidae
Description: lncRNA (ENSOARG00000026915.1)
Source: RNAcentral